This 250-nucleotide unclassified non-coding RNA is filed under the name Hevea brasiliensis (rubber tree). Lineage: Eukaryota; Viridiplantae; Streptophyta; Magnoliopsida; Malpighiales; Euphorbiaceae. The record is from RNAcentral.
GAGUAUGAUGCUUUGCUUUUGGAUAGUUUCCUCGACAUCCUUCAGGAUUUGCAUGGAGUGGAUCUCAAGGAAACGGUCCAAGAGUGUUAUGAACUUUCUGCGGAGUACGAAGGGAAGCAUGAUCCAAAGAAGCUGGAGGAGCUUGGAAAUGUGUUGACAAGUUUGGAUCCAGGGGAUUCCAUAGUCAUUGCUAAAGCUUUCUCUCACAUGCUUAAUUUGGCCAACUUGGCCGAGGAGGUGCAGAUUGCCU